RNAcentral lists this long non-coding RNA (2978 nucleotides) under Salmo salar (Atlantic salmon). RNAcentral describes it as "lncRNA (ENSSSAG00000098538.1)". Lineage: Eukaryota; Metazoa; Chordata; Actinopteri; Salmoniformes; Salmonidae. The record is from RNAcentral.
GAUGAAGGAGGUUAUUCCAUGUUCCUGAUGAAGGAGGUUAUUCCAUGUUCCUGAUGAAGGAGGUUAUUCCAUGUUCCUGAUGAAUGAGGUUAUUCCAUGUUCCUGAUGAAGGAGGUUAUUCCAUGUUCCUGAUAAAUUAGGUUAUUCCAUGUUCUUGAUGAAUGAGGUUAUUCCAUGUUCCUGAUAAAUGAGGUUAUUCCAUGUUCCUGAUAAAUGAGGUUAUUCCAUGUUCCUGAUAAAUGAGGUUAUUCCAUGUUCCUGAUAAAUGAGGUUAUUCCAUUUUCCUGAUAAAUGAGGUUAUUCAGUGUUCCUGAUAAAUUAGGUUAUUCCAUGUUCCUGAUAAAUGAGAUUAUUCCAUUUCCUGACAAAUUAGGUUAUUCUACGUUCCUGAUAAAUGAGGUUAUUCUAUGUUCCUGAUAAAUGAGAUUAUUCAAUUUCCUGACAAAUUAGGUUAUUCUACGUUCCUGAUAAAGGAGGUUAUUCCACGUUCCUGAUAAAUGAGGUUAUUCUAUGUUCCUGAUAAAGGAGAAUAUUCUGUUUUCCUCAUAAAUGCGGUUAUUCUGUUUUCCUGUUAAAUUAGGUUAUACCAUGUUCCUGAUAAAUUAGGUUAUUCCACGUUCCUGUUAAUGAGAUUAUUCCAUGUUCCUGAUAAAUUCGAUUAUUCUGUGUUCCUGAUAAGUGAGGCUAUUCCAUGUUCCUGAUAAAUGAAGUUACUCCAUUUCCUGAUAAAUGAGGUUAUUCAGUCUUCCUGAUAAAUGAGGUUGCAAUUCGACAUGAUUGAUCAGUUGCGUGAACUUGCUUCUUUCUUUAAUGAGAAAUGGAGAAUAGUUUUGCAAAAGCUGAAACAUACUAAAUUAAUAUAGACCUAUUCAAUUGUGAUAUAUAUAUUGAUAUGCGAUUCAUAACACCUUAAAUCAUGAUAUUGAAUAUAGCCUAGUAUGUAGCCUAGACGGUGUAGCAGGCCUAUUGUAAUUGACUGUCUGUAUUAUCUUAGGCUACUUCUAAUCUAUUCACAAACAGUCAUGUUACUUUGCUAAAUGUAAUAGGCUACUGAUGCGAGACAGAGUAAAAUAUUAAGCUUAAGUUAACAAAUAUUGUUGGCGUGUUUUAUUUUCUGUCUGUGGCUUUCAUAUAAACAUAAACUAUUUAAUAAGUCGAACUGAUGAUCGCACGUUAUUUCCCAUAUGGCGGGCUAUAAUAGCAAGCGUUUAGGCUAAAGCUCCUGCAAACCGCCUGUAAAUCAAAGCACGUCCAAUGAAUUGAUCCCCAUAUUCUUCACCGAUUUCUUUGACGUGAACGGGUGUUGAUUGAUUAUUAGCAUUAGAAUGUAUUAAAGGCCAUGUGCAUCAGUUGUAGAUGCUGUGUAAACAUGUCCCUUUAAAGCAAAUAACGCAGAAUAACUGAUUGUCAAUCGUCGAUCGCAGGCGUGUUCCCUCAGAAUACAUGUUCAAUCAAAGUAUUGCAUAGCCUGCAAUUACUGCCCCUGGACGCUUAAUCUGUCCAUCCGUUUGUUGAAUCUGGUAAAGCAUGUUGGACUCUUCAACCCUCCUGAAGUCGUUUCAUUCAAAGCACGUGUCCGUUUGAAGGUGUGCAAUUGGCUUGUGAGGCAUGUAUGGAAUUCCCAGAUGUCUAUGAAAUUCAAGGCGCCUUUGGUAGGCCCUGUAGGCUAGUGGGAGGUGGUGGAGUAUACAGCCAGCAUAUGUGAAAGUGUCCUAUACACAGCUUGUUUUUAUGGACACAGUCACUGCAGAAUCACAAGAAAAGUUCCAAAACGCAAAAUAGAGUUAUGUGCAAACUAAAAACCUGAAUGCAAAAGAUAAACCUAGUCCUUAGCCUACCUAAGAACACAACUUGCUUAUAUGAACAUCCAAGCUGUUCCAGUUGACAAGCAAAAUAGCUUAAUUUUAAGUCAGAAAAACUCUCUCCAACUCAGAAAUGUAAUACAACUAAGAGCAAGUAUACGUUCCUGUGUUUGCGGAGAGGAGUUGGCAACUGACACGAUGCAGAGAGAGGCACCGAAUGAAACCUAUUUUGAACAGAUGUUAGUAUUUUACAAAAGUCACGUGAAAUGAACAGAUGUUCUUGUGGAACAGGGACUCGCCUUAGUUCGAGAGCAUUCCUCGACAGAAAGGCUUCGAAAUAAGAUCGGAGAGAAGCAAUAGCGUUCUAUUCACAAGAAAAAACGACUAAGCACAUCGUGUGGGUGAUAAUAGAUUACCACGGGCCUCACCUGCGAUGGAACCUCGGCCUAGUCCCAUAGGAAAUCUAGCAAACUAAAAUGGACGGUUCCAACCGCGCAGGAAUUUGCUGGAGAUGGGGCAGGGGCGUUUGUGAAGCAGGUCGUCAACAGGCUGACUCAUCACACAUGGCCCCAGAACCGUGUCCCUCUGCCAAGAUGACACUGCACAGGAUAUAGUCCUCAUCAUCUGCCACCUGGUCAGGUGACCCUGACAACAACAACAACAACAACAACAAGAAACAAACAACAGUUGAUUGGAUGGUGUAAGAGCUAUGAUCCUGACUGCAAGUUUCCAUUGAGGUCCGACUGAAUCUACCAAUGGAUGUCCUGGUGUAUCUGCUUCUGGACUAAACAGGGCUGGAGAGGACCACAGUUCCUCACAACAAAUAGGCCCACAUCAAUGAACUUCUCCAGAUGAGACCGUGUGGAAUACUGAUGUGAUACUCAUACAUGCAAAAUGAUACUACAUGAUAGAAUAGCAUGGAGAACUUUAUGACACAAACAACAGUCAUACUGAAGCUAACAUGGACAAGUUUGCAAUGAUGCAAUAUUUAGGAAUUGAUAUCCACAAAAUAAUGGGUGGAUGAUCACUAGUUACAAAAGUGAAAUUGCACACACUUUCUUUUUAGGAGUAUAUUUAUAGAUGUUAUGUUUUACAAGUAUUUUUUUGAUUAUGGUGUAGUUUGUAAAUACCCAUUUUUGCUUUUCUUGUAUUUAUUUAGAGAAAAUGUAUGUUGGC